Molecule: long non-coding RNA, 1543 nt
Filed under: Brassica napus (rape)
Lineage: Eukaryota; Viridiplantae; Streptophyta; Magnoliopsida; Brassicales; Brassicaceae
Description: long non-coding RNA (BNAP_LNC022172)
Source: RNAcentral
AAUUCUAUUAUUUAGAGGAAUGGUGGUGAAGUGAGGUUUGCAUUAGAUUUUGAGAUUUGAGUUUAUAGUUUAGGGUUUUGGGUUUAUAUUUGGAUUUAGGUUUUUAAUAAAUUUCGUUCUCAAACUUUGUCAUUUGGCAAAUGUAAAUGGAGUGGACCAGUACUUCUAUACUAUUUAUAGAGGUUUCAUAUUAUGUCGUGUACAUUGACAAAAUUGACAACAUAUUAUAUAGAUUAUGUUUAGGUUUAUACUUUAGUUAUUUGGGUUUAGAUUUUGUAACUAGGGGUUUGUCUAGGGUUUUAGUAUUUAAGUGGGUGAGUAGAGUUUAGUGUUUAGGGUUUAUAUUUGGAUUUAGGGUUUAGUGAUUAGGAUUUAGGGUUUAGUAAUUUCUUUCUCAAACUAGAGUUUAGGGUUUAUAUGUCAUGUCUUCAAAUUUGAUAUUUCUCUUCUAUGCUCUUUUAUAUGAUUGUUCGUAAUAUAAAAUUGGUUUCAUUCAAAUAUUUGACAAUGUUAGGGUCAUGUCUAGUUUAAGAACGUCUUUUUCAUCAACGGGUACUUUUAUUUCUUCUCGUACUAUUUUACAUAUGAUACUCAACUAAUAUAAAUAGAAUAAACAUUUGUAUACUAUUUUAUACAAUGUUCAUACUAUAUAUGUAUAGUACUUGAAAAUAUUAUAAAAAUUAUAUAUUUCAGAUUUUGAUUUUCUUUUAAAUAUAUAUUAUAGCUUAUAUAUGAGUUUAAGAUUUAAUGGCUAUGGUUUAGAGUUUAGUAGGGGUUGAGUUUAGAGUUUAGUAUGAUAUUUUCCAUCUUUAUAUAGUAUAGUUUAAUAUCACAAAAUAUUAUAUAUAUUUUUCAGAUUUUAAUUUUAUUUUAAAAUUAUAAAUAUAUAAUAUAGUUUACAUUUGAGUUUGGGUUUAAUGAUAACCAUUUAGGGUUUAGUAUUUAAAAGUUAGAGUUGAAUUUAGGUUUAUAUUUGAGUUUAUGGUUUACAUUUAGAUUUAGGGUUUAGUGAUUAUGGUUGAAGGUUUAGUAUUUAGAGAUUAGUUUCAGAUUGAGAUAAGUUUUAGUAUCUAAAUUUAAGGGUUGAUGUAUAAUUAAUAUUCUAUAUUAUUUUGGUGAUAUGAAGUAGAAUUAAUGAAAUGUUUGUGGUUAUUAUGUAUGUGAUGUGGUUGUAUUAUCUUCCUGUAACAGUUUGCAUUAAUUAUUGGCAACACUUGGAUUUUGUUAAUGUCAUCUCUACAGCUUUAAGCCACCGGCAACUUGUAUGAAUCAAGGGUAAAACCGGUGAAAAUAAAGCACAAUUGUUAAAUAAUACAUUAUGUCAAAUCAGUGUUAUGCACUUAAUUUAUUUCUCAAACUUGGUCAUUUCACGAAUUCACACUAAAAAAACCCUAAAAAUGAUUUCAGUUUCGAUUAUUGAAUAUAUAGCUACCUUUAAUAGUUUCACUAUUCCGAAACUGCAACGGUUUCAUGUUUCAUACUCUCGUAAGAACCGAACCACUUUCAAAAUGAUUAAAAUCUGCCUCGUUAUUAUUUUUUAGAA